This 76-nucleotide transfer RNA is filed under the name Gardnerella vaginalis. Its description in RNAcentral is "tRNA-Asn". It matches the Rfam family "tRNA". Rfam says of the family: Transfer RNA (tRNA) molecules are approximately 80 nucleotides in length. Their secondary structure includes four short double-helical elements and three loops (D, anti-codon, and T loops). Lineage: Bacteria; Bacillati; Actinomycetota; Actinomycetes; Bifidobacteriales; Bifidobacteriaceae. RNAcentral also lists the same sequence under 16 other names. The record is from RNAcentral.
UCCUGCGUAGCUCAGUUGGCAGAGCGUUCGACUGUUAAUCGAAUGGUCGCUGGUUCAAGCCCAGCCGCAGGAGCAA